GCGGUACCGGUUCCCGCCCGCGCCUUCCAGGUGUGCCACGGCGCGCGUGCCAAGCGGCACGGAGGUGUGAACUCGGCGACCCGGCGACC
Molecule: non-coding RNA, 89 nt
Filed under: unclassified sequences
Description: L31-Actinobacteria ribosomal protein leader
Rfam family: L31-Actinobacteria ribosomal protein leader
Source: RNAcentral